Molecule: ribosomal RNA, 366 nt
Filed under: uncultured eukaryote
Lineage: Eukaryota
Description: partial 18S ribosomal RNA
Rfam family: Eukaryotic small subunit ribosomal RNA
Source: RNAcentral
CAAUAGCGUAUAUUAACGUUGUUGCAGUUAAAAAGCUCGUAGUUGGAUUUCUGGAGGGAGCGUCGGCCCGUAUUUACGAGUGCGUGACGUCUCUGUCCAUCCUUGCGGGAAGGCACGGCAUUGAUUUGUUGUGUCGGAUCGCAUCAUUUACUGUGAAAAAAUUAGAGUGUUCAAAGCAGGCUUUCGCUUGAAUACAUUAGCAUGGAAUAAUAAGAUAGGACUUUGGUGCUAUUUUGUUUGUUGAGCCUAAAGUAAUGAUUAAUAGGGAUAGUUGGGGGCACCUGUAUUGCGUUGUCAGAGGUGAAAUUCUUGGAUUUACGCAAGACAAACAGCUGCGAAAGCGUCUGCCAAGGAUGUUUUCAUUAA